RNAcentral lists this ribosomal RNA (228 nucleotides) under Pelobates cultripes (western spadefoot toad). Its description in RNAcentral is "SSU_rRNA_microsporidia". It matches the Rfam family "Eukaryotic small subunit ribosomal RNA", at positions 238 to 472 of the family's 1831-position model. The record is from RNAcentral. Lineage: Eukaryota; Metazoa; Chordata; Amphibia; Anura; Pelobatidae.
CCCAGCUCGUCAUGCUAGAGCACUUUUUCAAUGUGCUCCCCAAUGAAAAGGCGACGACGCAUUCGUAUGUCAAUCCUUAUCAACUUUUGAUGCCAUUGUUGCGCAUACCAUGGUGACCAUGGGUAACGGGGAAUCAGGGUUCAAUUCCAUACAGGGACCCUGACAAAUGGCUACCACAUGCAAGGAAAGCAGCAGGUGCGCAAGUGACCCACUCUCGAGGUAGUGACG